This 295-nucleotide long non-coding RNA is filed under the name Elaeis guineensis (African oil palm). RNAcentral describes it as "long non-coding RNA (EGUI_LNC038774)". Lineage: Eukaryota; Viridiplantae; Streptophyta; Magnoliopsida; Arecales; Arecaceae. The record is from RNAcentral.
UUUAGCUAGGUUUUACCCCCUUCCUACCUCAUUUUAUGACUCUUAUUAGCAUCUAUUGCGGCCCCUUGCUACUUGAUUCUACACUGUUGUCUAGAUGUAAAAAAUCUAAGAGGAGGGAAGGUGAAUUGGAUUUUUAGAAAACAAUCUUAGAAUAAGUAUGUGCACUACUAAAUUGCACUAAAUAAGUGUGCAGUAGAAGCAAUAAAUUAAAAUAAAAAAUAUGCUUAAAUAAAUAAGAGCAAAAUAGAAAUAAGCAAGAGUACACAUAAGUAUAAAAUUUUAUAGUGGUUCGAUG